Molecule: small nuclear RNA, 327 nt
Filed under: Mustela putorius furo (domestic ferret)
Lineage: Eukaryota; Metazoa; Chordata; Mammalia; Carnivora; Mustelidae
Description: 7SK RNA (ENSMPUG00000023506.1)
Rfam family: 7SK RNA
About the family: 7SK was discovered as an abundant small nuclear RNA in the mid-70s but a possible function has only recently been suggested. Two independent studies have found that 7SK RNA binds the CDK9/cyclin T complex (known as elongation factor P-TEFb).
Source: Rfam by way of RNAcentral
GGUUGUGAGGGCAGUUUGGUUGUGACAUCUAUCACCCUACUGAUCACCAAAGUUGACUCAGCUGAUCUGGCUGGCUAGGCAGGUGUCUCCUUCCUCCUCCACCGCUCCCUGUGUGUCCCUCCAAAGCUUUUGAGCCCAAAGAGGACAACUUUCCCUGACGGAGGAGGCCCGUUCUUCAGUCAAGGGUAUAUAAGUAGCUGUGCUCACCUGCUGGAACCUCCAAACCAGCUUUCAAGAUCCAUUCAUAGGAAAACAUAAGGUAGUCAGGCUUCCAAGACUCCAGACACAUCCAAAUGAGGCACCACAUGUGGCAGUCUGCCUUUCUUU